Molecule: ribosomal RNA, 513 nt
Filed under: uncultured bacterium
Lineage: Bacteria
Description: partial 16S ribosomal RNA
Rfam family: Bacterial small subunit ribosomal RNA
Source: RNAcentral
GAUGAACGCUGGCGGCGUGCCUAAUACAUGCAAGUCGAGCGAACAGACGAGGAGCUUGCUCCUCUGACGUUAGCGGCGGACGGGUGAGUAACACGUGGAUAACCUACCUAUAAGACUGGGAUAACUUCGGGAAACCGGAGCUAAUACCGGAUAAUAUAUUGAACCGCAUGGUUCAAUAGUGAAAGACGGUUUUGCUGUCACUUAUAGAUGGAUCCGCGCCGCAUUAGCUAGUUGGUAAGGUAACGGCUUACUAAGGCAACGAUGCGCAGCCGACCUGAGAGGGUGAUCGGCCACACUGGAACUGAGACACGGUCCGGACUCCUACGGGAGGCAGCAGUAGGGAAUCUUCCGCAAUGGGCGAAAGCCUGACGGAGCGACGCCGCGUGAGUGAUGAAGGUCUUCGGAUCGUAAAACUCUGUUAUUAGGGAAGAACAAAUGUGUAAGUAACUAUGCACGUCUUGACGGUACCUAAUCAGAAAGCCACGGCUAACUACGUGCCAGCCGCCGCAGUAA